RNAcentral lists this ribosomal RNA (254 nucleotides) under uncultured bacterium. RNAcentral's name for it is "partial 16S ribosomal RNA". It matches the Rfam family "Bacterial small subunit ribosomal RNA", at positions 524 to 776 of the family's 1533-position model. The record is from RNAcentral.
UACGAAGGGGGCUAGCGUUGCUCGGAAUGACUGGGCGUAAAGGGCGCGUAGGCGGACAGUACAGUCAGAUGUGAAAUUCCCGGGCUCAACCUGGGGGCUGCAUUUGAUACGUGUGAUCUAGAGUGAGGAAGAGGGUCGUGGAAUUCCCCAGUGUAGAGGUGAAAUUCGUAGAUAUUGGGAAGAACACCGGUGGCGAAGGCGGCGACCUGGUCCUUGACUGACGCUGAGGCGCGAAAGCGUGGGGAGCAAACAGG